GGUGGAGCAGUGGCAGCUCGCAAGGCUCAUAACCUUGAGGUCGCAGGUUCGAAUCCUGCCCCCGCAACCA
This 70-nucleotide transfer RNA is filed under the name Candidatus Peregrinibacteria bacterium CG_4_9_14_0_2_um_filter_41_14. RNAcentral's name for it is "tRNA-Met". It matches the Rfam family "tRNA". From Rfam's summary of the family: Transfer RNA (tRNA) molecules are approximately 80 nucleotides in length. Their secondary structure includes four short double-helical elements and three loops (D, anti-codon, and T loops). The record is from RNAcentral. Lineage: Bacteria; Candidatus Peregrinibacteriota.